CAUACAUUUGCAUAAAAGCAAGAGAGCAGUGUUCUGGGUUACGUAUGGAAACGGAUAAUGCUCGCUGGGUGCGCUUACUUGCUUAGAAUGCAUCAGAGAUGUAAAAACAUCCAAAGAGGCAUGUAACAUUCUUGCCGGAUUAUUCGCUCGGACGGAUGAUGCCAAGAUACAACAACUCGAGAACGAGCUAUUAUCAAUCUCACAGCGUGAAAUGACAGUGAGUUAUGACCCGAGUUUAAUGCACUCAUCAUGGCAAUUCAUGGAUGGUCUAAGGAGUCGUCUUUAAAUGAGUUGGAAAAUGUAUCAGCAAAAUCAGGAAGCUUUAGACAAACAAAUAUCUAAAGUAUUAGUCAAGGAAGAAGAGAAAGCUCUCUUUAACAAUAGAAAAGAUAAGGCUACUUAUACUACAAGAUCAAGAAGUGAAGGAAAGAAAAAGUAGGAAGGAUGACAAAAGCGUUAUCAAGGAAGAAGCUGACAAUGAAAGGGAGCUCACUACAACCAUCAGUCAGAAGAUAAAACUAGUCGUCGCAAGAAUGGUCAGUGCUACAAUUGUGGCAAACGAGAUCACUAUGCUCGAGAUUGUUGAUUUAAAAGAAUCGAAGGGGAAUGUUGCAAACAUCCACUCAACCUCAAAUUGAAAGUGGAGAUGAAUGGAGUUUUUAGGCUUCAUGUGCCAUUGCAGAAAUGGUAACUAGUGACUCUGAUAUGUUUACAUCCUCCAUCACGACUAAGCUAAAAGAGGAGCAAGCACUUAUCAUGGUGAGUGUUAAAUCUAUCAAUUACAGUGAUGAUUGGAGAGUAGACUCUAGAAGAUAAAAAAAAAUUAUCAAGCAUGACAGAAUAUGAAGGGGGACGAGUUGUUAUCAUUGCAAAUAGCUCAAGGUUAACCAUCACUUACAUUGGCAAGACGACAAUAGUGCCUAGAUAUAAUUCCAGGUAAGUAUUGCUAGAGAAUGUAUUGCACGUGCCUGGGAUGAAGAAUUUGAUAUCAAUGUCACAACUCAAUCCUUGAAAAACUAUAUGGUGUUCAGGCCAAAAGAUGUGAAAGUAUAUCAAAGUCUAAAACCAAUAAGUGUGCCAUUCAUGGAGGGAUGAAAGAUAGAGUCUGUCUAUGUGAUGUCAGCACAAACAACAUUCGAGGAUAAGACUAGAAGGAGUAAGAUAGCUUAUUUAUGGCAUGCAUGGCUAGGACACGUGAACUAUCACAAGUUGAAAGAAAUGAUGGAUAAGUCCAUGCUCAAGGGACUUCCUCAGCUAGAUGUUCGAAAGGAUACGGUAUGUGUUGGAUGUGAGUAUGGGAAAGCACACCAAUUACCUUAUGAAGAUUCUAAGUAUAGAGCUAAAAAGCCUCUAGAGCUUAUUCAUUUAUACGUGUUUAGACCUGUGAAACAACCAUCCAUCAGUGGUUUUGGGUAUUUGAUAACCUUCAUCGAUGACUUCUCAAGGUACAUAUGGUUAUACUUUAUAAAGGAAAAUCAGAAGCCUUUAUCAAGUUUAAGGAGU
This is a long non-coding RNA of Ricinus communis (castor bean), 1503 nucleotides long. RefSeq lists it as uncharacterized. The transcript has 3 exons. The record is from RefSeq and is a predicted model, not a curated record. Lineage: Eukaryota; Viridiplantae; Streptophyta; Magnoliopsida; Malpighiales; Euphorbiaceae.